UUUAAAUUGCUGUGGUAUUCUGACUAUACGAAGGUAUUGAAAUAAGGCUUUAAUUGGGUGCUAAGAGAAUGGUUAGACAAGGAUUAACUUUCUUUUAAUUUAAAUUAAAAGUUAAUUUAAAAAUGAAAAAGUUUUUAUAAAUUUUUGGGACGAGAAGACCCUAUGAAUUUUUUUUAAGUUUUUUUAUUUAAUUUUUAAUGAAUAAGAUUAUAUAAAAAUUUAAUUUAAUUGGGGUGAUUUUUAAAAAUAUUUAACUUUAAAAAUAGGAAAUAAUUUGAACCAUAAGUUUUGAUUGUUUGGAAAAAUACUCUAGGGAUAACAGCGUUAUUAUUUUGGAUAGUUCAUAUAGUUAAAAUAGUUUGCGACCUCGAUGUUGGAUUAAGAUACUUAUGUAAUGUAGUAGUUAUAUUAAGGAGAUGCUCGACCUGACC
This 431-nucleotide ribosomal RNA is filed under the name Alectorobius dyeri. Its description in RNAcentral is "Ornithodoros dyeri partial 16S ribosomal RNA". Lineage: Eukaryota; Metazoa; Arthropoda; Arachnida; Ixodida; Argasidae. The record is from RNAcentral.